RNAcentral lists this transfer RNA (73 nucleotides) under Ictidomys tridecemlineatus (thirteen-lined ground squirrel). RNAcentral describes it as "Spermophilus tridecemlineatus (thirteen-lined ground squirrel) tRNA". It matches the Rfam family "tRNA". From Rfam's summary of the family: Transfer RNA (tRNA) molecules are approximately 80 nucleotides in length. Their secondary structure includes four short double-helical elements and three loops (D, anti-codon, and T loops). Further hydrogen bonds mediate the characteristic L-shaped molecular structure. tRNAs have two regions of fundamental functional importance: the anti-codon, which is responsible for specific mRNA codon recognition, and the 3' end, to which the tRNAs corresponding amino acid is attached (by aminoacyl-tRNA synthetases). tRNAs cope with the degeneracy of the genetic code in two manners: having more than one tRNA (with a specific anti-codon) for a particular amino acid; and 'wobble' base-pairing, i.e. permitting non-standard base-pairing at the 3rd anti-codon position. The record is from Rfam by way of RNAcentral. Lineage: Eukaryota; Metazoa; Chordata; Mammalia; Rodentia; Sciuridae.
UGGGUUGUGGCUCAGUGGUAGAGUGCUCGCCUUGUAGGUGCGAGACCCUUGGGUUCGAUCCUCAGCACCACAU